RNAcentral lists this ribosomal RNA (253 nucleotides) under uncultured bacterium. RNAcentral describes it as "partial 16S ribosomal RNA". It matches the Rfam family "Bacterial small subunit ribosomal RNA", at positions 524 to 776 of the family's 1533-position model. The record is from RNAcentral.
UACGGAGGAGGCAAGCGUUAUCCGGAAUUAUUGGGCGUAAAGCGUCCGCAGGUGGCAAAUCAAGUCUGCCGUCAAAGACCGGGGCUUAACCCUGGACAGGCGGUGGAAACUACCAAGCUGGAGUACGGUAGGGGCAGGGGGAAUUUCCGGUGGAGCGGUGAAAUGCGUAGAGAUCGGAAAGAACACCAACGGCGAAAGCACUCUGCUGGGCCGACACUGACACUGAGAGACGAAAGCUAGGGGAGCGAAUGGG